This is a long non-coding RNA of Salvelinus sp. IW2-2015, 941 nucleotides long. RefSeq lists it as uncharacterized. The record is from RefSeq and is a predicted model, not a curated record. NCBI's taxonomy places the organism in Eukaryota, Metazoa, Chordata, Actinopteri, Salmoniformes, Salmonidae.
CUACUGCAUCGUGUACACCAUGCAUACCGUCUGUUCCUCCCCCCAGAACAAGUCUGUUCCCUUUUGGUUUCACUGGUGUUACUGGAUUUACCGUCUGUUCCUCCCCAGAACAAGUCUGUUCCCUUUUGGUUUUCACUGUGUGUUACUGGAUUACUGUCUGUUCCUCCCCUAGAACAAGUCUGUUCCUUUUGGUUCACUGUGUGUUACUGGGAUUUACUGUCUUUCCUCCCUAGAACAAGUCUGUUCCCUUUUGGUUUCACUGUGUGUUAACUGGAUUUACCGUCUGUUCCUCCCCUAGAACAAGUCUGUUCCCUUUUGGGUUUCGCUGUGUGUUACUGCGAUUUACCGUCUGUUCCUCCCAGAACAAGUCUGUUCUCUCCCCAGAACAAGUCGUUUCAAGGCUCUCCUGGGAACAGAAAGAGACAACCGGUGACACAACCAGAAGACAGACUUGACUACACAUGGCUGACAUGGUUCAUCUGUGGCGUUACGCGGGGAUUCUCCCGUGAACCCGGUAACUGUGGCAACGCUGUAACUGUCCUCUGAUUGACAGCUGGGCUGGGGCGGAAUGCAAACACCCACAAACCUUAAAACUGGCUUUCUGCACUUUCUGCUACCUUGUUAUCUUCACCACAUAAAGCACUGCGAAGACCAAGGCUGUCCUAAUGUUCUGCCACCUCAGUCCUUCUCCUGGCUCUGGACUGACUGCCAACGGUGGGUAGUAGAUGGGCCAAUGACUGAACAGAAGAGUUGGGAGCGGGGCCCAAAGCCAAUGUCACCAUUUGAUUGAAGAUAAAUGUUUUCACGUCGCUUAUGGCUAAACACGUGCUAUCGCUUUGUAAUUAUUUAUUCGGAAAAAGGAUUCUCCCUUUUUUUUUUAAUUGAAAUGUUGAUCAAAUAAUUGGAGAUAUUUAAUUUUAUAAAGCUUUCUAAGUAUGUGA